RNAcentral lists this ribosomal RNA (524 nucleotides) under uncultured bacterium. RNAcentral's name for it is "partial 16S ribosomal RNA". It matches the Rfam family "Bacterial small subunit ribosomal RNA", at positions 28 to 523 of the family's 1533-position model. The record is from RNAcentral.
GACGAACGCUGGCGGCGUGCCUAAUACAUGCAAGUCGAGCGCAGGAAGCCGUCUGAACCCUUCGGGGGGACGACGGUGGAAUGAGCGGCGGACGGGUGAGUAACAUGUAAAGAACCUGCCCAUAGGUCUGGGAUAACCACGAGAAAUCGGGGCUAAUACCGGAUGUGUCAUCGGACCGCAUGGUCCGAUGAUGAAAGGCGCUCCGGCGUCGCCCAUGGAUGGCUUUGCGGUGCAUUAGCUAGUUGGUGAGGUAACGGCCCACCAAGGCGACGAUGCAUAGGCGACCUGAGAGGGUGAUCGGCCACACUGGGACUGAGACACGGCCCAGACUCCUACGGGAGGCAGCAGUAGGGAAUCUUCCACAAUGGACGAAAGUCUGAUGGAGCAACGCCGCGUGAACGAUGAAGGCUUUCGGGUCGUAAAGUUCUGUUGUAAGGGAAGAACAAGUGCCGCAGGCAAUGGCGGCACCUUGACGGUACCUUGCGAGAAAGCCACGGCUAACUACGUGCCAGCCGCCGCGGUAA